Long non-coding RNA from Actinia tenebrosa (Australian red waratah sea anemone), 649 nucleotides. RefSeq lists it as uncharacterized. Lineage: Eukaryota; Metazoa; Cnidaria; Anthozoa; Actiniaria; Actiniidae. The record is from RefSeq and is a predicted model, not a curated record.
GUUUCGAAGCUGCAAAGUUUUGCAGACUACUGUACUUUGGAAGAUUUCUAGAUUUCAGUUCAAUUUUUGUAGUACCUUCCACAUUCAAUUUAUAUUUUGGUUGACCCCUAUUCUGACAGAGGAGACAAGCAUGGAUACAGUCGCAGUGAAAUACAAGGAGCGAGGGUAACCCUAGCACUACAAGGGUUACCCGCUAAGCAGGGUCAAUAGAUCACUGGUCUGGAUUACAAGGAAAAAAUUUAGGAAGCCCACCUAUGUUUUAUGUUCAAACGUGCGCAGCUACAAAAGUGAGUGUAGACGUAUCCGGGAACCCUGUGGCUCGUUAUCGUCUCAUCAUAAUCCUUACGGGGGUCCUGUGGCGUUGUGCUCUUGUCUUAGCAGUCAAGGUUAUUCAAUCCAAGACUCAAGUCGCAACCUCAAGUUAUAACUUUAAAUCCAACCUCGAAUCGACCCGUAAAAGAAAUAUGGCUGAUUAAGAUGGAUCGCUUACAGAUUACUUACUUCGCGCUAGCUUCGCCCACCCGUGUAACUGUCGCCAGGUGAUUAGCGCUUGCCCUGCACAAAGGUCGUGGCUUGGGCUGUGACGUCAGAUGAGCGAUAUGGAUUAGAGUUUAAAAUAUGGACUCGCGGACUACCUGUGGCUAAAAUG